AAAUUGAAGAGUUUGAUCAUGGCUCAGAUUGAACGCUGGCGGCAGGCCUAACACAUGCAAGUCGAACGGUAACAGGAAGAAGCUUGCUUCUUUGCUGACGAGUGGCGGACGGGUGAGUAAUGUCUGGGAAACUGCCUGAUGGAGGGGGAUAACUACUGGAAACGGUAGCUAAUACCGCAUAACGUCGCAAGACCAAAGAGGGGGACCUUCGGGCCUCUUGCCAUCGGAUGUGCCCAGAUGGGAUUAGCUAGUAGGUGGGGUAACGGCUCACCUAGGCGACGAUCCCUAGCUGGUCUGAGAGGAUGACCAGCCACACUGGAACUGAGACACGGUCCAGACUCCUACGGGAGGCAGCAGUGGGGAAUAUUGCACAAUGGGCGCAAGCCUGAUGCAGCCAUGCCGCGUGUAUGAAGAAGGCCUUCGGGUUGUAAAGUACUUUCAGCGGGGAGGAAGGGAGUAAAGUUAAUACCUUUGCUCAUUGACGUUACCCGC
RNAcentral lists this ribosomal RNA (492 nucleotides) under Escherichia coli O157:H7 str. 1125. RNAcentral's name for it is "SSU rRNA". It matches the Rfam family "Bacterial small subunit ribosomal RNA", at positions 1 to 482 of the family's 1533-position model. The record is from RNAcentral. Lineage: Bacteria; Pseudomonadati; Pseudomonadota; Gammaproteobacteria; Enterobacterales; Enterobacteriaceae.